UGGGGAAUUUUGCGCAAUGGGGGAAACCCUGACGCAGCAACGCCGCGUGAGUGAUGAAGGCCUUCGGGCCGUAAAGCUCUGUCAGAGGGAAAGAAAUGCGGGAGGGUUAAUACCCCUUUUGCUUGACGGUACCCUCAAAGGAAGCACCGGCUAACUCCGUGCCAGCAGCCGCGGUAAUACGGAGGGUGCGAGCGUUGUUCGGAAUUAUUGGGCGUAAAGCGCGUGUAGGCGGUCUUUUAAGUCUGAUGUGAAAGCCCCGGGCUCAACCUGGGAAGUGCAUUGGAAACUGGGAGACUUGAAUACGGGAGAGGGUAGUGGAAUUCCUAGUGUAGGAGUGAAAUCCGUAGAUAUUAGGAGGAACACCGGUGGCGAAGGCGGCUACCUGGACCGAUAUUGACGCUGAGACGCGAAAGCGUGGGGAGCAAACAG
RNAcentral lists this ribosomal RNA (429 nucleotides) under uncultured bacterium. RNAcentral describes it as "bacterial SSU rRNA". It matches the Rfam family "Bacterial small subunit ribosomal RNA", at positions 355 to 775 of the family's 1533-position model. The record is from RNAcentral.